AGGACGAACGCUGGCGGCGUGCUUAACACAUGCAAGUCGAGCGGAAAGGCCCUUCGGGGUACUCGAGCGGCGAACGGGUGAGUAACACGUGAGUAAUCUGCCCCUAGCUCUGGGAUAGCUCCGGGAAACCGGGAUUAAUAUCGGAUACGACCACUUUAGACAUCUGUUGUGGUGGAAAGAUUUUGGCUAGGGAUGAGCUCGCGGCCUAUCAGCUUGUUGGUGGGGUAAUGGCCUACCAAGGCGACGACGGGGUA
Molecule: ribosomal RNA, 254 nt
Filed under: uncultured bacterium
Lineage: Bacteria
Description: partial small subunit ribosomal RNA
Rfam family: Bacterial small subunit ribosomal RNA
Source: RNAcentral